RNAcentral lists this ribosomal RNA (486 nucleotides) under uncultured bacterium. RNAcentral's name for it is "bacterial SSU rRNA". It matches the Rfam family "Bacterial small subunit ribosomal RNA", at positions 40 to 507 of the family's 1533-position model. The record is from RNAcentral.
CGGCGCACAUAAGACAUGCAAGUCGAACGGAAGUCCGUUAUAAAAAGGAUUGAGGAUUUAUCUGAUUGAGAUUUUAUAACAAUGGCUUUAGUGGCGGACUGGUGAGUAACGCGUGAGCAACCUGCCUACUAGAGGGGAAUAACAGUGAGAAAUCAUUGCUAAUACCGCAUAUGCCAUGAACAUCACAUGAUGAAAGUGGGAAAAGAGUAAUCUGCUAGUAGAUGGGCUCGCGUCUGAUUAGCUAGUUGGUGAGGUAAUGGCCCACCAAGGCAACGAUCGGUAGCCGGACUGAGAGGUUGAACGGCCACAUUGGGACUGAGACACGGCCCAGACUCCUACGGGAGGCAGCAGUGGGGAAUAUUGCACAAUGGGGGAAACCCUGAUGCAGCGACGCCGCGUGGAGGAAGAAGGUCUUCGGAUUGUAAACUCCUGUUGUUGAGGAAGAUAAUGACGGUACUCAACAAGGAAGUGACGGCUAACUACGUG